AGAAACUUGACGAAUGUACAGCUACUAAAUGCCGAGACACCUACCAAUAGUCGAGUCUACAAAGGUACCUCGACCUAGUUACCAGCUGCCUCAUAAUCUGAAAACAUGAAGUUGAAAGCGGUGAGCAUAAACUCAGUGAGUGAACAAGAAAGGAAACAAGCAUACCAUAAGGAAUGUUUAACGAAAUCAUGAUGCAUUCAUUUUCUCAAAACAAUGCAAUUGUUUUGGCUCUUUUAAACCCCUCAUGUAAACCCCACAUGAG
This 262-nucleotide long non-coding RNA is filed under the name Theobroma cacao (cacao). RNAcentral describes it as "long non-coding RNA (TCAC_LNC005199)". Lineage: Eukaryota; Viridiplantae; Streptophyta; Magnoliopsida; Malvales; Malvaceae. The record is from RNAcentral.